AUCGAUAUGCUCCUUAUGCCAAUGAUAUGCUCCAAUUACCUUUCCUCGAUUGUAUGAACAAAACGUGCUUCGAACGAUACGACAUUGUAAUUCUGCAUUCAAACAAAACAUGCUAUUGUUUCAUCUUGUAUCUCUACUUUGUAUUUUGAUACCUUAUUUGUUUGAAACCUGUCCUCUUUGCUAUAGAUAUGUUAGUCAUUUGUUGAGCUUUAUAUGCUCACCCCGUUGCUAUAUAAAUUUUUCAGGAUAGCUUAUCGCUCGCUAAAAUAUGUAAAUUGGGUUGAGGCAGUGGAAGGCUAGAAGAUUUUGGGGCAAAUAUUUUGUACUUGAUAGGUUGAUGUUGUAUAAGUUCUUUUUGGGUGUAAUGAAAUAUCAAUGACAAAUCUAGAUUGGUAUAUCUUGUAAAUAUUUGAAAAGUACCUCUUACGUCAGGAUUUUGGAAAUGUUAAGUCUAAACUGUGUACUGAUAUAAAUAUGUAGUACAUGUUGGUUUUGUGAGUGCAUUAAUUGCCGCACUUAUGGAUUUAUGAUAUAGUUAUGGUUUAGUUAAGUUGCUUUUGGAUUUUAAAGAAUCAUCUAGUGACAUGAUGUAUGAUUAUAAACUGCACAAGUUUUGUGAAUUGUGGAUUGUAGAGGUGAAUGACUUGAAUAUUUUUCUUAGUGACCUCAAAUGUAUGAUUGGAUCCUGGAUUGUUUGUUGAAUUAUAAUUUUAUCAAUCUUGAGUUAGGUUCACACCUCCUAAAUGAGAAUUAAAUUCGGGAGGGGCGUGACAGAGUGGUAUCAAAGCAUGGUUUGAGGAGCACUGAAAUAUUUGAUAUGUUGACGUGCAAAAUAUAUUGAGGUCUAGUGAACUAUAGUGAUUGGUGAAAAUUUUAUUUGAUGCAUUUUAGGAAUCUAGGAUGACGAGGACAUUUAGUCCUCCUACUUCAUCUGCUUUUGAUUAAUUAAGUGCGAUAAAAGGGUUGAUCAGGGAUAUUAAAUCAGAGUGGCGCAGUAGAAGUGUGGUGAACCUAAUACAUUGGUAGCAAAAAAAAUAGAUGAUGCAAUUGGAGAAGAUAUUUGAUGUACAAAAUUGUUCUGAUGAUCAAAAGAAUUUAUGGAGAUCAAGGACAAGAAUAACAUGGAUAUGUUUACCAAAAAAAAAAAAGAUUAUAAAUGAAUUACAAUAUGAUAACAAGAGGGUCAAGACAUCAUCGAUUUAAAAAGGAAAGUCACCACAAAAGAUUCAAUCAUGUGUACGAUGUGAGUUAAAUUAUGAAAUAAGUUUGUAUUUGUAGGUGACUGGAUCCUAUUUUGCUUGUGGAAAUUUGGAUCAUAAAAUAAAAGACUGCCCUUUGGACAAGAAGAAAGAAUCACUGCCUCAUAAAUCAUCAGCCAAUGUCAGAGUGUAUGUUAUCACGGAAUAUGAUUCUAAAGCUUUUGAAUUAGUGGUCGAAGGUACUAUUCAUGUUUAUGAAAGAAUACAAAUAUUUGUUUGACCAUAUGUCUCAUAUAUGAUUUGAUUCGUAAUAUUUUGCUUAUCACAUGGGCAUUCAACCUGAACCAUUAGAUAUAUGCUAUAUGUAAAUACGGCUAUUGGGGAUUGUUUGAUAACAAACUCGAUCUGGUCAUCUUGUUUGAUUUCUAUUGGAGAACAUGAACUUCUUACUGAUUUGGUUCUCCUAGAUAUUUGGAGUUUUGAUAUUAUACUAAGUAUGGAUCGUCCAAUCAUACCAGUAUAGAUUGUUAUACAAAAUAAUCACUUUUUGCAUACUAGAUCAUCCCAUCUUUUAUUUUGAGAGUAUUGGGCAUGAUUUACCUCCUUGCUUGAUGUAUUCCUAGAUGACUUGUCUGGUUUACCUCCAGAUAGAGAGGGUGAAUUUACUAUUGAUUUGGUCCUUGGGACAAUCCCAAUAUCUAAGCUUCCUUACAGAAUGGCACCACUCGAGCUAGAGGAAUUGAAAAAGCAACUACAAGAACUAUUAGAUAAGGGUUUCAUUCGACCCAGUGUUUCACCAUGGGAUGCUCCGGUGCUAUUAGUUAAGAAGAAGGAUGGAACAUUAAGGCCUUAUAUUGAUUAUAGACAAUUGAAUCAGGUGACCAUCAAAAAUAAGUAUCCCCUACCCAGAAUUGAUGAUUUGUUUGAUUAAUUGCUGGGUGCACAAGUAUUCUCCAAGAUUGAUUUAAGGUUAGGUUACUAUCAGUUGAAGAUUAUGAAGGAGGAUAUUCCAAAAACAGCUUUUAGAACUCGAUAUGGUCACUAUGAAUUCUUAGUGAUGCCUUUUGGUUUAACUAAUGCCCUGCAGCUUUUAUGGAACUGAUGAAUAGGAUAUUUCAGCCAUUCUUGGAUGAUUGUGUGAUUGUAUUCAUUGAUGUCAUAUUAGUAUAUUCAAGGAGUAAUCAGGAGCAUGAGGAACACUUGAGAAAUAUAUUAUCCAUACUAAGAGAAAAGAAGUUGUAUGCAAAGUUCAGCAAAUGUGAAUUUUGGUUGAAUGAAGUUGCUUUCUUAGGCCAUGUGAUUUCAGGGAAGGGUAUAUUGGUUGAUCCAAAGAAAGUGGAAGCUGUUGUUAAGUGGGAAGUACCAACAAACAUGAUAGAAGUUAGAAGCUUCUUGGGCAUGAUAGGUUAUUAUAGGAGAUUUGUGGAGGGAUUUUCUUAAAUCGCUCAACCUCUCACCAAACUCACUCAAAAGAAUGUGAAAUUUGUAUGGGAUGAUGAUUGUGAGCAAAGUUUUCAAGAGUUAAAAAGGAGAUUGACUAGUGCCACUAUUCUCACUAUUCCAAGUGGUGAUGAGGGAUUUAUGAUUUACACUGAUGCCUCAAGAAAGGGCCUUGGAUGUGUUUUGAUGCAAGAAGGGAAAGUGAUUGCUUAUGCUUCUAGACAACUAAAGAGUUAUGAACUGAAUUAUCCAACUCAUGAUUUGGAAUUGACAGCAAUUGUUUUUGCUCUAAAGAUUUGGAGGCAUUACUUGUAUGGGCGAACAUUUGAAAUAUUUACUGAUCAUAAGAGUUUAAAGUAUAUUUUUACUCAAAAAGAGUUAAACAUGAGACAGCGGAGAUGGAUAGAACUUUUAAAAGAUUAUGAUUGUACUAUUCGUUAUCACCUGGGUAAAGCUAAUGUUGUAGCAGAUGCCCUUAGUAGAAAAUCUACAAGUUUUAUGGCAACUUUGGUUAUGAAGCAAUGAAAGUUAUUAGAAGAGAAUUAUGAUUCGAAUGUUAUGAGAAAUGGGCAAGAAUCAAUGAUAUUAAUGACCUCCAUCCAAGUGCAAUCUGACCUCAUUCAACAAAUUAAAGGAGGACAACUACGAGAUUGACGCUUGAUCUGCUUAAGGAAUGAAGUAGAAAAGGGAUUGAAACUGAAUUUUCGAGUUUCAGAGGAUGGCCUAUUGAGAUUUGGGGAUAGAAUAUGUGAUCCAAAUGACUCAUAUAUCAAAAAUCAAAUCCUGAGGGAUAGUCAUAAUUCAAAGUACACCAUGCAUCCUGGUAGCACUAAGAUGUAUAGAGAUCUCCAAAGUCAUUAUUGGUGGGAAGGCAUGAAGAAGGAGAUUGCAAUAUAUGUUUCAAAGUGUUUGACUUGUCAACAAAUCAAAGCAGAACACCAAAGACCUGGAGGUUUGUUGCAACCUUUAGAUAUUCCUGAAUGGAAAUGAGAAUGUAUUACCAUGGACUUUAUUUCAGGACUACCCCGAACUUCUAGAAAGCAUGAUGCUAUUUGGGUUAUCAUUGAUAGGUUAACGAAAUCUGCACAUUUUCUACCGAUCAAUAUGACUUAUUCUCUUGAUAGGCUUGCAGAUUUAUAUAUAAAUGAAAUAGUAAGAAUUCAUGGUGUUCCAAAGGAGAUAAUCUCUGACAGAGACUUCAGAUUUCUAUCUAGAUUUUGGAGAAGGUUACAAGAAUCUAUUGGCACUAAAGUUAAGUUUAGCACUGCUUAUCACCCUCAAACUGAUGGUCAAUCAGAAAGAACCAUUCAAACACUUGAGGAUUUGCUUCGAGCCUAUGUUAUGGAUUGGAAAGGUGAAUGGGAUAAAGAUAUCUCUCUUAUUGAGUUCACUUACAAUAAUAGUUAUCAUUCAAGUAUUCAGAUGGCUCCUUAUAAAGUUUUAUAUGGGCGAAAGUGCAGGACGCCUAUAUGUUGAGAAGAAAUUGACGAUAGAAAGUUAUUAGCACCAGAAAAAGUACAAGAGACUACUGAGAAAAUUCAACUUAUAAGAAAAAGGUUAAAGACUACUCAGAGUCGUCAAAAGAGUUAUGCUGAUAACAGAAGACGAAAUAUUGAGUUUCAAAUCGGGGAUUUUGUAUUCCUGAAGGUCUCCCCUUCUAAAGGCAUUAUAAGAUUUGGGAAGAAAGGAAAGUUAAGCCCAAGAUUUAUUGGACCUUUUGAGAUUCUUGAGAGGGUUGGUUCUAUCGCUUACAGGAUUGUCUUGCCACCAUCAUUGUGCCAUAUCCAUGAUAUAUUUCAUGUUUCAAUGAUCAGAAAGUAUAUACCUGAUCCCUCUUGUAUCAUUAAGUAUGAGCCGAUGGUGAUUGAUAAAGAUUUAUCUUAUGUGGAAGAGCCCACUCAGAUUGUUGAUAAAAAAUAAAAGAUCUUGAGGAAUCGGGUUAUCCCUCUAGUUAAAGUGAUCUGGAGAUAUCAUUCUGGAGAGGAAAUAACUUGGGAGCUUGAGGAAAAAAUGAUGAAAGCUUAUCCUCAUCUUUUCGUCGAAUGAGGUAUGAUAAAUUUAGAGGACUAAAUUUUUCUUUAAGGAGGGGAGAGUGAAACAUCCCCUAUUUUUAAAAAUUUAGUAAAAGGUUUGUUUGUAAAAAUAAGGUAUUAUAUUAAAUAAUUAAAAAAUAAGGUAACAUCCCCUAUUUAAUAAUUAUUUUAUAUUAAAUGAUAUUAUAUUAAAAGUUUAUGGCUAGGCACCUAAGAGUAAAUAUUAGAAGUUUGAUAUAAUUUAUGAAAGAUUCAGAUUUAAGUUAAAAAAAAAAAUAGUGGAUAUGUGUCACUAACUAACCUAAGGUUGGUGCCACUUAUCUUUGCUCUAAAGAUGACACCUAGCCCCUUUCAUGCAUGCAUGACACCUUGCAACUUUUGCAUUAGCCAAAAACCCAAAUAAUUAGAUGAAAGGUUAAAGAAAAUAAAGCUGAAGAGUUGCAGCCAAUUUUUCCACAUUUGAGGUUUUUCAACAAUUUGUUCACAUUUGGGAUUCAAAUAAUUUUAAGGCAAGUAUUCUAACCCCAUCCCACAGUAACCUUAAUCUCUGUUUCCAUUUUUAUUCUACAAAAUUCGAAAGAUUUCAACUGAGAACUAGACCUUCUUUCGUUUUGAUACAAAGCUAGGAAUCUGUAAUUUUUCAGUAAUCUGACCUCUAUGCAAUGUUUAGGUCAUAACAUUUUGUAAUAAACUCUAAUUUAGACAAAACCUAUUCCAUUUGAAAGUAGACAAAAAAAUCUUUAUUUUGAUACAAAGAUUGAAUGAUUUGGAGUUUAAAUGCCUACUAAGACUUUUGUUUAAAUUAACCAUACAGAUUCUGUAAAACAGGGACGGAAAUUUCUGACCUCUUGUUGCUUAACUACUUAUAGCUUUCUACUGUGAAUUCAGAUUCAUACAAAGUAUGAUUUAUUCAAAGUUAGACUAAAAAUUCUUUCUGUGUAUUCCUGAUUUGAAAUUUUUAGAGUACAAUUGCUAAUUGAAACAUCUUUUUAUUUUUUAUUUUUGGUAAGUCUAACUGAAACAUCUGCUUUCAUCGACCCUAUGGAUUCAGUAAAACAGAGCUAAUAUUUUCAGACCUUUCACUACGAAAUUAUCUGUAACUCCCUGUUGUAAAUUUCAGUUCUUGUAAAACUUGAUUUUCCUAAAACUAGAUUGACAAAGCUUUUUAAUUUCACCUAUUUUGUAUAUAUUGGAGCAUAAUUGGUUAUCCAAAUAGUUCAAACAAUGUUCCUAUCAAAUUCUGCCAGAAUCGAGCUUUGGUCGAUUUCGGGUUUCCUUGUUACUUCUCUUUGGAAAUCAAUUUCGACAAAAACUCUUACUUCAGUUAAGCUUUACAUUAUUAUCUUAAAUUUCUAUAUACUUUUAUUCUUUAUUUAUUUGUACAUCUGCAGCUAUCAUCUAAAGUUCAUGUUUACAUCGUAAUGAAUCGGCACAUGCAUCCCAUUGUUCCACAUUUUGCUUUCGAUAUGUGCCUAUUCUAAUUUCAUUUCUUUAGACAUUGAAUUUAUCUAACUUUCUUAUUUCAAUUGAGCUAUAUGUGAUUUCUUGAAAUCCUUGUAUGCCCUUGCUUUUGUUUUCUUUCAAAUCUAAAUAUAUUUGUGAAAGAUUAUGUUUGUAUCGUAUUGACUCAAAAGGCAUAUGUACAUUUUGUUGUUCCGCAUGUGCUUCCAAUAUAUGCUAUUUUCAUUAUUCAUACUGUCCCUUUGUACUCUGGUGUUUGUGGGAUAAAUGUGAACCUUUGCUAGAAAUGGUAAAGGGAGUUAUGCUUAGAGCCCGUGAUGCUCUACCGGCCCCCCUAUGACUUCAUUCAGACGUGGGUGGAUGGAGCUCCCAGACGUGGGAGACUUAUGUUUGGUGGUCAUUCAGAAAUGGAUGGACCAUAUUAUGUUAUGAUCCCACUUCACCUUCUAUGUGUUUGAUAUGAUAUUCAAAGAUUUGGCUAUGUUUCUAUGCAUGCUUUGAUAAGAAUGAAAUGAAUGCAUCGUCAUGUGACAUUUGAGGUUCUAUUCAUGUUUUGUUCUUUGAUAUGUUUCCGAAAUGUUAUAAGUCUUUAUUAUACCUUGAAAACUACCAUAUGUCAUCGAUAUGCUCCUUAUGCCAAUGAUAUGCUCCAAUUACCUUUCCUCGAUUGUAUGAACAAAACGUGCUUCGAACGAUACGACAUUGUAAUUCUGCAUUCAAACAAAACAUGCUACUGUUUCAUCUUGUAUCUCUGCUUUGUAUUUUGAUACCUGAUUUGUUUGAAACUUGUCCUCUUUGCUAUGGAUAUGUUAGUCAUUUGUUGAGCUUUAUAUGCUCACCCCGUUGCUAUAUAAAUUUUUCAGGAUAGCUUAUCGCUCGUUAAAAUAUGUGAAUUGGGUUGAGGCAGUGGAAGACUAGAAGAUUUUGGGGCAAAUAUUUUGU
RNAcentral lists this long non-coding RNA (7075 nucleotides) under Musa acuminata (dwarf banana). Its description in RNAcentral is "long non-coding RNA (MACU_LNC010057)". Lineage: Eukaryota; Viridiplantae; Streptophyta; Magnoliopsida; Zingiberales; Musaceae. The record is from RNAcentral.